RNAcentral lists this ribosomal RNA (460 nucleotides) under uncultured bacterium. RNAcentral describes it as "partial 16S ribosomal RNA". It matches the Rfam family "Bacterial small subunit ribosomal RNA", at positions 338 to 795 of the family's 1533-position model. The record is from RNAcentral.
CCUACGGGCGGCAGCAGUGAGGAAUAUUGGUCAAUGGGCGCGAGCCUGAACCAGCAAAGUAGCGUGAAGGAUGACUGCCCUACGGGUUGUAAACUUCUUUUAUAAAGGAAUAAAGUGAGGCACGUGUGACUUUUUGUAUGUACUUUAUGAAUAAGGAUCGGCUACAUCCGUGCCAGCAGCCGCGGUAAUACGGAGGAUCCGAGCGUUAUCCGGAUUUAUUGGGUUUAACGGGAGCGUAGAGGGGUUGUUAAGUCAGUUGUGAAUGUUUGGGGCUCAACCGUAAAAUUGCAAUUGAUACUGGCAGCCUUGAGUACAGUUGAGGUAGGCGGAAUUCGUGGUGUAGCGGUGAAAUGCUUAGAUAUCACGAAGAACUCCGAUUGCGAAGGCAGCUUACUAAACUGCCACUGACAUUGAUGCUCGAAAGUGUGGGUAUCAAACAGGAUUAGAUACCCUAGUAGUC